RNAcentral lists this ribosomal RNA (1372 nucleotides) under uncultured bacterium. Its description in RNAcentral is "bacterial SSU rRNA". It matches the Rfam family "Bacterial small subunit ribosomal RNA", at positions 28 to 1381 of the family's 1533-position model. The record is from RNAcentral.
GAUGAACGCUGGCGGCGUGCCUAAUACAUGCAAGUCGAGCGAACGGACGAGAAGCUUGCUUCUCUGAUGUUAGCGGCGGACGGGUGAGUAACACGUGGAUAACCUACCUAUAAGACUGGGAUAACUUCGGGAAACCGGAGCUAAUACCGGAUAAUAUUUUGAACCGCAUGGUUCAAAAGUGAAAGACGGUCUUGCUGUCACUUAUAGAUGGAUCCGCGCUGCAUUAGCUAGUUGGUAAGGUAACGGCUUACCAAGGCAACGAUGCAUAGCCGACCUGAGAGGGUGAUCGGCCACACUGGAACUGAGACACGGUCCAGACUCCUACGGGAGGCAGCAGUAGGGAAUCUUCCGCAAUGGGCGAAAGCCUGACGGAGCAACGCCGCGUGAGUGAUGAAGGUCUUCGGAUCGUAAAACUCUGUUAUUAGGGAAGAACAUAUGUGUAAGUAACUGUGCACAUCUUGACGGUACCUAAUCAGAAAGCCACGGCUAACUACGUGCCAGCAGCCGCGGUAAUACGUAGGUGGCAAGCGUUAUCCGGAAUUAUUGGGCGUAAAGCGCGCGUAGGCGGUUUUUUAAGUCUGAUGUGAAAGCCCACGGCUCAACCGUGGAGGGUCAUUGGAAACUGGAAAACUUGAGUGCAGAAGAGGAAAGUGGAAUUCCAUGUGUAGCGGUGAAAUGCGCAGAGAUAUGGAGGAACACCAGUGGCGAAGGCGACUUUCUGGUCUGUAACUGACGCUGAUGUGCGAAAGCGUGGGGAUCAAACAGGAUUAGAUACCCUGGUAGUCCACGCCGUAAACGAUGAGUGCUAAGUGUUAGGGGGUUUCCGCCCCCUAGUGCUGCAGCUAACGCAUUAAGCACUCCGCCUGGGGAGUACGACCGCAAGGUUGAAACUCAAAGGAAUUGACGGGGACCCGCACAAGCGGUGGAGCAUGUGGUUUAAUUCGAAGCAACGCGAAGAACCUUACCAAAUCUUGACAUCCUUUGACAACUCUAGAGAUAGAGCUUUCCCCUUCGGGGGACAAAGUGACAGGUGGUGCAUGGUUGUCGUCAGCUCGUGUCGUGAGAUGUUGGGUUAAGUCCCGCAACGAGCGCAACCCUUAAGCUUAGUUGCCAUCAUUAAGUUGGGCACUCUAAGUUGACUGCCGGUGACAAACCGGAGGAAGGUGGGGAUGACGUCAAAUCACCAUGCCCCUUAUGAUUUGGGCUACACACGUGCUACAAUGGACAAUACAAAGGGCAGCGAAACCGCGAGGUCAAGCAAAUCCCAUAAAGUUGUUCUCAGUUCGGAUUGUAGUCUGCAACUCGACUACAUGAAGCUGGAAUCGCUAGUAAUCGUAGAUCAGCAUGCUACGGUGAAUACGUUCCCGGGUCU